GAUGAACGCUGGCGGCGUGCUUAACACAUGCAAGUCGAACGAAACACCUUAUUUGAUUUUCUUCGGAACUGAAGAUUUGGUGAUUGAGUGGCGGACGGGUGAGUAACGCGUGGGUAACCUGCCCUGUACAGGGGGAUAACAGUCAGAAAUGACUGCUAAUACCGCAUAAGACCACGGCACCGCAUGGUGCAGGGGUAAAAACUCCGGUGGUACAGGAUGGACCCGCGUCUGAUUAGCUGGUUGGUGAGGUAACGGCUCACCAAGGCGACGAUCAGUAGCCGGCUUGAGAGAGUGAACGGCCACAUUGGGACUGAGACACGGCCCAAACUCCUACGGGAGGCAGCAGUGGGGAAUAUUGCACAAUGGGGGAAACCCUGAUGCAGCGACGCCGCGUGAGUGAAGAAGUAUUUCGGUAUGUAAAGCUCUAUCAGCAGGGAAGAAAAUGACGGUACCUGACUAAGAAGCCCCGGCUAACUACGUG
RNAcentral lists this ribosomal RNA (481 nucleotides) under uncultured bacterium. Its description in RNAcentral is "partial 16S ribosomal RNA". It matches the Rfam family "Bacterial small subunit ribosomal RNA", at positions 28 to 507 of the family's 1533-position model. The record is from RNAcentral.